UGCCAGACUCCUACGGGAGGCAGCAGUGAGGAAUAUUGGUCAAUGGGCGGGAGCCUGAACCAGCCAAGCCGCGUGAAGGAAGAAGGCGCCAAGCGUCGUAAACUUCUUUUGUCGGGGAACAAAGGGCGCCACGUGUGGCGUUGUGAGUGUACCCGAAGAAAAAGCAUCGGCUAACUCCGUGCCAGCAGCCGCGGUAAUACGGAGGAUGCGAGCGUUAUCCGGAUUUAUUGGGUUUAAAGGGUGCGUAGGCGGCCGGAAAUGUCAGCGGAAAAACCCGGGGCCACACCCCCGGCGAGCCGUUGAAACUGUCGGACUAGAGACGGCGAGAAGUACGCGGAAUGCGCGGUGUAGCGGUGAAACGCAUAGAUAUCACGCAGAACUCCGAUUGCGAAGGCAGCAUACCGGCGCCCGACUGACGCUGAGGCACGAAAGCGUGGGUAUCGAACAGGAUUAGAUACCCUAGUA
This 465-nucleotide ribosomal RNA is filed under the name uncultured bacterium. RNAcentral describes it as "bacterial SSU rRNA". It matches the Rfam family "Bacterial small subunit ribosomal RNA", at positions 329 to 792 of the family's 1533-position model. The record is from RNAcentral.